This 253-nucleotide ribosomal RNA is filed under the name uncultured bacterium. RNAcentral describes it as "partial 16S ribosomal RNA". It matches the Rfam family "Bacterial small subunit ribosomal RNA", at positions 524 to 776 of the family's 1533-position model. The record is from RNAcentral.
UACGUAGGGGGCAAGCGUUAUCCGGAUUUACUGGGUGUAAAGGGAGCGUAGACGGCAGAGCAAGUCUGAUGUGAAAGCCCGCGGCCCAACUGCGGGACUGCUUUGGAAACUGCCCGGCUAGAGUGCUGGAGAGGUAAGCGGAAUUCCUAGUGUAGCGGUGAAAUGCGUAGAUAUUAGGAGGAACACCAGUGGCGAAGGCGGCUUACUGGACAGUAACUGACGUUGAGGCUCGAAAGCGUGGGGAGCAAACAGG